Pelobates cultripes (western spadefoot toad) is the source of this 207-nucleotide non-coding RNA. The record is from the annotation of a GenBank genome assembly. Lineage: Eukaryota; Metazoa; Chordata; Amphibia; Anura; Pelobatidae.
GUAGGUCGGAAGGGAGGUAAUGGGGUUAUCUGUGGUGUCCAACCUGGUUGGUUUGUGCCAUAGAUUGUUGCUUCUGUUAGUUUCCGAUUUUUGCCUUUUUGCUAAAUCGACCAUUUUCGUGUGCUUUCUUGCGAAAUGACUAACUAGACUUUGUAUAAUCCCUGAGUAUUCUGCGCUCCUUUGGUCAUCCAUUUACGGCUACACAGG